This 1352-nucleotide ribosomal RNA is filed under the name metagenome. RNAcentral's name for it is "bacterial LSU rRNA". It matches the Rfam family "Bacterial large subunit ribosomal RNA", at positions 1564 to 2925 of the family's 2925-position model. The record is from RNAcentral.
CGAGUCCGAGUCUCCACGGAGACGAAGUGGCGGUCAUCCAGCUUCCUAGAAAAGCUCUAACCACGUUAAUCUUUAGUUGCCUGUACCCGAAACCGACACAGGUAGGGGGGUAGAGAAUACCAAGGGGCGCGAGAUAACUCUCUCUAAGGAACUCGGCAAAAUGACCCCGUAACUUCGGGAGAAGGGGUACCACUGAGAAGUGGUCGCAGUGAAGAGGCCCAGGCGACUGUUUACCAAAAACACAGGUCUCCGCCAAGUCGCAAGACGAAGUAUGGGGGCUGACGCCUGCCCAGUGCCGGAAGGUUAAGGAAGUGGGUUAGGGAUUCGUCCGAAGCUGACGACUGAAGCCCCGGUGAACGGCGGCCGUAACUAUAACGGUCCUAAGGUAGCGAAAUUCCUUGUCGGGUAAGUUCCGACCCGCACGAAAGGCGUAACGAUCUGGGCGCUGUCUCGGAGAGAGGCUCGGCGAAAUAGGAAUGUCUGUGAAGAUACGGACUACCUGCACCUGGACAGAAAGACCCUAUGAAGCUUUACUGUAGCUUGGAAUUGGGUUCGGGCUUGGUUUGCGCAGGAUAGGUGGGAGGCGAAGAAGAUUUGCUUGUGGGUGAAUCUGAGCCAACGGUGAGAUACCACUCUAACCAGGCUAGAAUUCUAACUUCAACCCGUCAACCGGGGGAAGGACAGUUUCAGGUGGGCAGUUUGACUGGGGCGGUCGCCUCCUAAAAGAUAACGGAGGCGCACAAAGGUUCCCUCAGGCUGGUUGGAAAUCAGCCAACGAGUGCAAAGGCAGAAGGGAACUUGACUGCGAGACCUACAAGUCAAGCAGGGUGGAAACACGGUCUUAGUGAUCCGACGGCACCGAGUGGAAGGGCCGUCGCUCAACGGAUAAAAGUUACUCUAAGGAUAACAGGCUGAUCUCCCCCAAGAGUUCACAUCGACGGGGAGGUUUGGCACCUCGAUGUCGGCUCAUCGCAACCUGGGGCGGAAGUACGUCCCAAGGGUUGGGCUGUUCGCCCAUUAAAGCGGUACGUGAGCUGGGUUCAGAACGUCGUGAGACAGUUCGGUCCAUAUCCGGUGUAGGCGCAAGAACAUUGAGAGGAGUCUUCCUUAGUACGAGAGGACCGGGAAGAACGCACCGCUGGUGUACCUGUUAUCGUGCCAACGGUAAACGCAGGGUAGCCAAGUGCGGAGUGGAUAACCGCUGAAAGCAUCUAAGUGGGAAGCCCACCUCAAGAUGAGUGUUCUCAUGGAGUAAUCCAGUAAGGUCACGGGAAGACGACCCGUUGAUAGGCGGUAGGUGGAAGUUCAGCAAUGGAUGAAGCCGAGCCGUACUAACAGACCGAGGGCUUGAC